Molecule: long non-coding RNA, 3089 nt
Organism: Felis catus (domestic cat)
Lineage: Eukaryota; Metazoa; Chordata; Mammalia; Carnivora; Felidae
Exons: 8
Source: RefSeq, a predicted model, not a curated record
GCCCUACAUGGGGCUCGAUCCCAGGAGCCAUGAGAUCAUGACCUGAGCCGAAAUCCAGAGUGAGGCGCUUAACCAACUGAGCCACCCCGGUGCCCCGAGAAGACUCUAUUUUAAAUGAAGACUGAAGAGUGACUAAUAUAUAACCACUGAAUGAUGUUGCCUCUCACAACUAAAGUGACGAUAACUGGGCACACAAAAAUCAUGAGGCCUGCUGAGUUUUCAUCCUGUAGCAGAAGAAAAGCUUUCCCCACUGAAUAAAGUUUAAAAGGUAGUGGGAAACCAAAAAAAAAAAAAAAAAAAAAAAGUUUAUCUAGUCACGAACCAUGCCUGUUCAUCAUACAGGUGCAGUCAGUGAGCGGUGCCCCAGCAGAUCCCAGCCCUGGGUCUGCCCCUCCACAGCUGGAAUGGGGCCAUGGUCCCACAGUCCGAAGGCCAUGGUGUGGAGCAGGGCAGAGAGCUAAGUGUGGUGCAGGUUGUUUGUCUUAUUGACCUUGCUUUGCUUAGGGGGAAAGAGGCUCACUAGGAAGUUCACUCACAUCCUGGGGAAGGCUUCCAAGGUGGAAAGGAUUUUCAUUUGUCUGCAAGGCCUCACAUCCAGCAGAUAGAGAAACUAUCCCCAAUGCUGUGGACCUUUUCCCCUGUCCUGGAGGUGUCCUCUGUCUCUUUCUGCCUUGAGUCUUGGGUCUAGAAAUCACUGCACUCAUCUCUCACAGAUAGGUCAUUGGGUAUCUGCACCUAAAGAUCUUAAUAGUGCCUAGAUGCCUGGGCUGCUCUGUGGAAGGCUCUAGUUGUGGAGUCAAACAGACUGGGAGUAGCUAGUAGUAAGGAAAUGCCACAUACAUUGGUAAGAUAUGACCCUGAACUGCUAUGUCCAGUCAUGAGAGCAGACUCUCUUGUUGGCGAGAGAGCAGCUUGGAGCUGGAGCCCAACCUCUCCCCAGUCUCUCCUCAGCUACCCCUGCCUCCCACUCACUGCUCCCCCUUGACGCCCUGUGUCAAGUGUGGAUACAUCACCUUUCUCUCAUGAUCUGGACAGCUGAGAUAUGACUCACCUUUUUAAAUAAGUUUUACCAAAAGCUUAGGACAUACAAAUGAGAAAUGAACACAAAGAGGAAUAUGGAGGCAGCAAUCUGGCUCACAAGGCAGGGCUUACUUUGUGACUCUUUCCAGAGGUUGGUCUCUGACCCGAGGCCUCCCAGCUCCAUAGGGUAGAUACCACCUUAGCCACCCCAAGGUCAGGACAAUGAGGCUUGUGGAAAAAAGUGGAUUCCUCACUCCUGCCUGCCUAGGGCCUCAUUUAAUAAUUCAUUUUCCUGAGUGAAGAACUUUUCACUCCAGAAGAGGGGAUUAGCCCUGGGAAUGACCUCACCUCAAGGAAGUGUGUAUGUUUCAAUUCAUAAUGUUCACAUUAUGUUUCAAUACCAUAACCCCAAGAUUCAUAUAGUAGAGAUUUCUAUAAACACAACAGUAAAGCAUUGAUCUAGAUUUUGUUUAACUCUUGAGUAACCAAUAAAAUCUUCUAGGAUGCCUCCAGUCAUUGGUACCAUUCACCAAAUGUUUGUACUUCAUCUCCUGGCCAUAUUGUAUGCUUUGAAGUUAGGUGCAGGCAUGUGUGAUGGUUUAAAAAUAUCCAUAUGUUCUUUGAUACUCUUCCCUUCAGGAGGUGGGGCUUAGGUUUGCCUAUACGGUAUGUGCUGGAGUUAAUGACUCACUUAGAAUACGUAGAAUAUUCUGGAAGUGAUGUUAUAUGACUCCUGAGACGAGGUCAUAAAAGGUUUUCAGGCUUCCUUCUUGGGUUCUGUCUUGACUUGCUCAUUCCACGGGAAGCCAGCUGCCAUGUCAUGAGAACACUCAAGCAGCACUUUAGAGAGGCCCAUGUGGCAAGGAAUGGUGGCCUGCUGCCAACAACUAGUGUUAAAUUGCCAGGCAUGUUAGUGAGUCACCUUAGGUCCCCCAGCUCCUGUCAACCCUCCAAAUACCUGCGGCCCUGGUAUCUUGACUGCAGCCUCGUGAGAGACCCUAGGCCAGAAACACCCAGCUAAGCUGCUCCCAGAUUCCUGAAUCCCGCAACUGUGUGAGAUCAUAAAUAUUUAUUGUUUUCCAUUAAGUUUUGGGGUUAUCUGUCAUAUAGCAACACAUAACUAAUACCUUAUGACUUGCUUUGGCCUGUGACGAUGGACAGAAGAAGUAUUUCCAGGGAGAAGCCUUAAGGACAAGAGAACCUAUGCCAGCUUGGAGUUCUCAAACCUCUCAUUAGAGCCUUGUUAUUCUAGUGAGGUCAGCCCUACCAAGUGUCCACCAUCGAGGCAUCCCUUCCUUGGAACUUCAGCUCCCAGUGAUGCUGAUGUGCAGCCAGAUUUGGGAACCACUCCUCUAGAGUGUUCUAGAUGGCAAGCAGGCCUAAUCUAUCAGAGAGCAAAGAGGAGAUGGAAGCUGGUUUGGAAAUGGCAUCUGUUGAAACGAAUGUCAGCCUGCAAGGAAUUAUACUGCCUGAAGAGGAAUUUAAAUGUCCUGAGCCUGUGCAAGUAUCCGAAGUGACGGAAUGCGAAAGAAAUGGAACCCAUCAGUUUUAGCUGAGUACCAGACUUCCCAGCCAACAGUGGCAUUUUCCAGGUUCCCGUGCAGUCAUCCUGGGAAGGUUUAUGCUUGGGCCAGAAGUGCCCCACUAUCUAGGUUGGUGCUGAGGCUGCCUUUGAGAACCGCCUCUGCUUUGAAAUCUCUACUUAUGCCAAGUCUUCAUCUUUUGGAAACAACUAGCAGUUACCAAAGAUGGUGGAUAAGCAACUGCCUCCAAAUUUAUGUUUCUGACAUUGGAGAUGGAUACUGCUUCUGAGUUCAGAGAGGAUUUGAGCAGACUCUCGGAAAAUUGAACCCUGCCAACAAUUGGAACAGUUUGCUAACAGUUUGGAAGAGGAUCACUUUCCAAUCAGGCCUUCAGAUGAGCCCACAGCCUUGGCUAACACCUUAUUGCAGACUUGUAAGAUAUCCUAAAACUCUUCGUGACCCACAGGAAGAGUGAGAUGUUAAACAGGAAUUGUUUUCAGCCACUAAAUUUUGGGGUAAUUGUUCCACAGCUAUAGAUAACUUAUU